GGGUGCCUAAUACAUGCAAGUCGAGCGGACAGAAGGGAGCUUGCUCCCGGAUGUUAGCGGCGGACGGGUGAGUAACACGUGGGUAACCUGCCUGUAAGACUGGGAUAACUCCGGGAAACCGGAGCUAAUACCGGAUAGUUCCUUGAACCGCAUGGUUCAAGGAUGAAAGACGGUUUCGGCUGUCACUUACAGAUGGACCCGCGGCGCAUUAGCUAGUUGGUGAGGUAACGGCUCACCAAGGCGACGAUGCGUAGCCGACCUGAGAGGGUGAUCGGCCACACUGGGACUGAGACACGGCCCAGACUCCUACGGGAGGCAGCAGUAGGGAAUCUUCCGCAAUGGACGAAAGUCUGACGGAGCAACGCCGCGUGAGUGAUGAAGGUUUUCGGAUCGUAAAGCUCUGUUGUUAGGGAAGAACAAGUGCAAGAGUAACUGCUUGCACCUUGACGGUACCUAACCAGAAAGCCACGGCUAACUACGUGCCAGCAGCCGCGGUAAUACGUAGGUGGCAAGCGUUGUCCGGAAUUAUUGGGCGUAAAGGGCUCGCAGGCGGUUUCUUAAGUCUGAUGUGAAAGCCCCCGGCUCAACCGGGGAGGGUCAUUGGAAACUGGGAAACUUGAGUGCAGAAGAGGAGAGUGGAAUUCCACGUGUAGCGGUGAAAUGCGUAGAGAUGUGGAGGAACACCAGUGGCGAAGGCGACUCUCUGGUCUGUAACUGACGCUGAGGAGC
RNAcentral lists this ribosomal RNA (729 nucleotides) under Bacillus pumilus. RNAcentral's name for it is "bacterial SSU rRNA". It matches the Rfam family "Bacterial small subunit ribosomal RNA", at positions 42 to 754 of the family's 1533-position model. The record is from RNAcentral. Lineage: Bacteria; Bacillati; Bacillota; Bacilli; Caryophanales; Bacillaceae.